RNAcentral lists this ribosomal RNA (254 nucleotides) under uncultured bacterium. RNAcentral describes it as "partial 16S ribosomal RNA". It matches the Rfam family "Bacterial small subunit ribosomal RNA", at positions 524 to 776 of the family's 1533-position model. The record is from RNAcentral.
UACGAAGGGGGCUAGCGUUGCUCGGAAUCACUGGGCGUAAAGCGCACGUAGGCGGCUUUUUAAGUCAGGGGUGAAAUCCUGGAGCUCAACUCCAGAACUGCCUCCGAUACUGGGAGCCUUCGAGUCCGGGAGAGGUGAGUGGAACUGCGAGUGUAGAGGUGAAAUUCGUAGAUAUUCGCAAGAACACCAGUGGCGAAGGCGGCUCACUGGCCCGGUACUGACGCUGAGGUGCGAAAGCGUGGGGAGCAAACAGG